GGACCCGCACAAGUAGUGGAGCAUGUGGUUUAAUUCGAAGAUACGCGCAGAACCUUACCAACACUUGACAUGUUCGUCGCGACUCUAAGAGAUUAGAGUUUUCGGUUCGGCCGGACGAAACACAGGUGCUGCAUGGCUGUCGUCAGCUCGUGUCGUGAGAUGUUGGGUUAAGUCCCGCAACGAGCGCAACCCUCACUUUUAGUUGCCAUCAUUAAGUUGGGCACUCUGAAAGAACUGCCAGUGAUAAGCUGGAGGAAGGUGGGGAUGACGUCAAGUCCUCAUGGCCCUUACGUGUUGGGCUACACACGUGCUACAAUGGGAAGUACAAAGGGCUGCGAACCAGCAAUGGUAAG
RNAcentral lists this ribosomal RNA (353 nucleotides) under uncultured bacterium. RNAcentral's name for it is "bacterial SSU rRNA". It matches the Rfam family "Bacterial small subunit ribosomal RNA", at positions 917 to 1267 of the family's 1533-position model. The record is from RNAcentral.